RNAcentral lists this ribosomal RNA (429 nucleotides) under Gemmatimonadota bacterium. RNAcentral's name for it is "Gemmatimonadetes bacterium partial 16S ribosomal RNA". It matches the Rfam family "Bacterial small subunit ribosomal RNA", at positions 355 to 776 of the family's 1533-position model. The record is from RNAcentral. Lineage: Bacteria; Pseudomonadati; Gemmatimonadota.
UAGGGAAUCUUCGGCAAUGGACGAAAGUCUGACCGAGCAACGCCGCGUGAGUGAAGAAGGUUUUCGGAUCGUAAAACUCUGUUGUUAGAGAAGAACAAGGACGUUAGUAACUGAACGUCCCCUGACGGUAUCUAACCAGAAAGCCACGGCUAACUACGUGCCAGCAGCCGCGGUAAUACGUAGGUGGCAAGCGUUGUCCGGAUUUAUUGGGCGUAAAGCGAGCGCAGGCGGUUUCUUAAGUCUGAUGUGAAAGCCGCAGGCUAAACCGGGGAGGGUUAUUGGAAACUGGGAGACUUGAGUGCAGAAGAGGAGAGUGGAAUUCCGUGUGUAGCGGUGAAUGGCGUAGAUAUAGGGAGGAACACCAGUGGCGAAGGCGGCUCUCUGGUCUGUAACUGACGAUGAGGCUCGAAAGCGUGGGGAGCAAACAGG